RNAcentral lists this small nucleolar RNA (57 nucleotides) under Drosophila pseudoobscura pseudoobscura. RNAcentral's name for it is "snoRNA:GA29908". Lineage: Eukaryota; Metazoa; Arthropoda; Insecta; Diptera; Drosophilidae. The record is from RNAcentral.
GGAUGACGAUGACGUUGUGGAAACUGUUAAGCAUUUUAACUGAGUUUUCUUCGAAAU